Molecule: ribosomal RNA, 497 nt
Filed under: uncultured bacterium
Lineage: Bacteria
Description: partial 16S ribosomal RNA
Rfam family: Bacterial small subunit ribosomal RNA
Source: RNAcentral
GAUGAACGCUGGCGGCGUGCCUAAUACAUGCAAGUCGAGCGAACAGACGAGGAGCUUGCUCCUCUGACGUUAGCGGCGGACGGGUGAGUAACACGUGGAUAACCUACCUAUAAGACUGGGAUAACUUCGGGAAACCGGAGCUAAUACCGGAUAAUAUAUUGAACCGCAUGGUUCAAUAGUGAAAGACGGUUUUGCUGUCACUUAUAGAUGGAUCCGCGCCGCAUUAGCUAGUUGGUAAGGUAACGGCUUACCAAGGCAACGAUGCGUAGCCGACCUGAGAGGAUGAUCCGCCACACUGGAACUGAGACACGGUCCAGACUCCUACGGGAGGCAGCAGUGGGGAAUAUUGGGCAAUGGGCGCAAGCCUGAUGGAGCAAUACCGCGUGAGUGAAGAAGGUCUUCGGAUCGUAAAGCUCUGUUGUUGGGGAAGAAAAAAAGCAUAAGAAUAUCUGCAUGUCUUGACGGUACCUAAACAAUAAGCAACGGCUAACUUCGUG